AGCUCGUAGUUGAAUCUGUGUGCCACACUGUCGGUUCACCGCUCGCGGUGUUUAACUGGCAUGAUGUGGGACGUCCUACCGGUGGGCUUAGCUUCCUCGCGGAGGYGGUCCAACCAAUCUCCCAUCGCGGUGCUCUUCACYGAGUGUCGAGGUGGGCCGGUACKUUUACUUUGAACAAAUUAGAGUGCUUAAAGCAGGCUGUCCUCGCCUGAAUAUUGUGUGCAUGGAAUAAUGGAAUAGGACCUCGGUUYUAUUUUGUUGGUUUUCGGAACCCCGAGGUAAUGAUUAAUAGGGACAGAUGGGGGCAUUCGUAUUGCGACGUUAGA
RNAcentral lists this ribosomal RNA (326 nucleotides) under Scolia sp. RNAcentral describes it as "SSU rRNA". It matches the Rfam family "Eukaryotic small subunit ribosomal RNA", at positions 627 to 920 of the family's 1831-position model. Lineage: Eukaryota; Metazoa; Arthropoda; Insecta; Hymenoptera; Scoliidae. The record is from RNAcentral.